GAGUGCCGUCCGUUGAGGANGGCUUUUCCUUGGUGUAACUAGCCGGGGAAUAAGGAGAGGGCAAGACUGGUGUCAGCCGCCGCGGUAAUACCAGCUCUCCGAGUGGUGGGGANGAUUAUUGGGCUUAAAGCGUCCGUAGCCGGCUUAGCAAGUCUCCGGUUAAAUCCAACGACCUAAUCGUUGGGCUGCGGGAGAUACUGUUGGGCUAGGAGGCGGGAGAAGCCGACGGUAUUNNCGGGGUAGGGGUGAAAUCCUGUAAUCCCGGGNGGACCACCAGUGGCGAAGGCNGUCGGCUAGAACGCGCUCGACGGUGAGGGACGAAAGCUGGGGGAGCGAACCGGAUUAGAUACCCGGGUAGUCCCAGCUGUAAACGAUGCGGGCUAGGUGUUGGGGUGGCUACGAGCCACUUCAGUGCCGCAGGGAAGCCAUUAAGCCCGCCGCCUGGGGAGUACGGCCGCAAGGCUGAAACUUAAAGGAAU
RNAcentral lists this ribosomal RNA (479 nucleotides) under uncultured bacterium. Its description in RNAcentral is "bacterial SSU rRNA". It matches the Rfam family "Archaeal small subunit ribosomal RNA", at positions 383 to 865 of the family's 1478-position model. The record is from RNAcentral.